Molecule: long non-coding RNA, 356 nt
Filed under: Setaria viridis
Lineage: Eukaryota; Viridiplantae; Streptophyta; Magnoliopsida; Poales; Poaceae
Description: long non-coding RNA (SVIR_LNC010915)
Source: RNAcentral
GUGGUGUGUUAAUAAUGAUUUGGUGGCUAAUUACGACGUUCCAAUUUUUUGGCUUUGGGAAAAAGAGAACAAAUGACUUGCCUUUGCCAGUCAUCAUGUCGAUGAUGUCCUUAGUAUGGGUGGUUGUUGCUUGGCCUUCGGUUGGCAAUUCUUGUGAAUCCGGAGUCAUCCCAUUCGAAACUCCUACCUGAGCUAAAGCCAAUCCCUUUGCCUUAGUCCUAGUCACUCUAGGAGGCAUACUGUCAGAGGCAUCAAAUGCCCAAAUUCUUUUGGACAACCCUCUUUCCCCACAGACAGGUAUGCUAUCACUGAUCUGAUUGGACUAAUUGCAUAAACAAAAAUAAUGAGAAGAAAUC